AAGAGAAGAAAAAGAAAAGAAAAGGAAAAGAAAAAGAAAAGAAAGAAAAAGAAAAAAAGAAAAAAAUAAUUUGAGAAAGGGUUCAAGAAACCUGAAAGCAUAUUGUCUCUAAGUUUCAAGGAACAUUAUUUCCAACAAAGAUGAAUAUUCCAUCAGUAUGCCAUAACCUGCACCAGAAGAACCAAAUUUAAGAAUUUCCAGCUAUAAUUUUCAAAUAUCGAUAGUAUUUGAACAUACAAAAAAUAACUGCAAUUUUCAACACCAUGCAAAUGAAAUUACACUCCAAAUGACUUUGCCUUUUAUGUUAUAUUAUAAAAAAUUAAUUAACGCUAAUAAUUAUAAUAUUUUAUACAUUUAUUAUUGUAUUAUACUAUAUAUAUAAUAUUAUAUUACAUUAUAUCAUAAUACAUUAAUAUAUUAUGUUAAAUAAUUUAAUAUUACGUUAUAUUAUGAAAAAUUAAUUUAUAUUAAUAAUUAUAAUAUUUUAUAUCUUUAUUAUUGUAUUAUACUAUAAAUAUAAUAUUAUAUUACAUUAUAUUAUAAUACAUUGAUAUGUUAAGUUAAACAAUUUAAUAUUAUAUUUGUUGUGGUUCAAAUUUGGCCCGAGGGUGACCACGCCAGUGGAGUCGAGGGAGCUGCCAUUGGUUAAAAGGAGAGGACGCGAGCCACCUCCUGCACGACGGUCGUAGAUCUGCAUAAAGCCUCAUCGGGGUUUCUGGUGGGGGCCCUCCGACGAUCAAGUAAGAGUGGGAUCAAUUUGGUCCGGCCAAAGAGAGAAGUCCCUUAGAAGUUACCUGACCGAGCUAUUUAUAGUCUCGGUGGAGUAACCCAGGUAGCAGAGGCACUGUCAGCCCUCAUUAUGAGAGGGUGUGGCUCUGAGUCGGAUGACGCACAGCUUAGACCAGCUGGUGGCGUAUAGUGCGACCCGUUCUUGAGAACGGUAGGGUAUUGACAAUCACAGCAGGGCAUGGCCGGAGUAGUCAAGGUGUCGUCUGACUGUUGAAGGCCGACUAUGGAGACGUGGCAUUAUAGUGUUGUAAUGUACGGCCACGUAGGUGGGUGUAGGCCCGCACAUGGGUGCGGUCGUUGGCUAGGCCUAACUCGUUGAGAGGUCGCAUCAUGCAUUUGGCGAGGUCGAGUGUUGAAAGUAGCUCGGCUUUUCAGGUUCAGAAGUGUGCUCGGUGGAGCACCCCGAGCUAGAAGGUCGGGGCGUACUGCUGAGGUAGACGCCCCGAGCUUGGUUGAGAGAGUCGGUGAAUAUCUAAAAGAUACCCCGAGCUUGGUCGGAGGAGUCGGCGAAUAUCUGAAGUUAGUGGAGCUUUUGACGGAGUUCCGAAAUCGAGCUGACUCUGGACCGAAGUGAAGAUUCAGCCAAUUGGCGUUGAUGUUUACUGAGCCGCAACUGGACGGUUUUUUAGUUAUGGGCUGGACGAUCCAUUUUUCCCCCUAUCAAUAUUAAAUUGUUAUCCUAUAGUGUACAAUGUUAUAGUACUAUAUUAUAAUAAUAUUAUAUUACAUUACAAUAAUAUUAUACUAUAUUAUAUAUUUAUGUAUUAAUAUAUAUUAUAUUUUAUUAUGUUCUGUUGUAUAAUACUAUGUAAUGUCCUUUAUGGCCAUUUUGUAUGCAAAAGUAUUUUCUCAGUUUAUUUACCGCACAUGUUAAAGUGCCACAACUAGAGGUGGCAAACUAUGACCCGACCCGCCAACCCGAUCCGUGUUCAACCCACCAUAAAUAGGUUUGGGUUUGGCCUAAACAGGUUCGGGUCGUAAACUGGUUGACCUGUUUAACCUGUUUAUUAAUUGGGUUGGAUACGGAUUUUAGACAUCUGACCCAUUUAAUCUGUUUAACUCAUUUAACUCUUGGGCUGAUAGAAGAUAAAGGCCACAACCCACAAGCCCAGAGUCGGCCCAACUCCCCUCGGCCCGAUUUGGUUUUCUUUUUCAAUUGCUCAGCUGCUCACCACGAUUUGGCCAUUUGGGGGUCUUAGGGACUAGGGUUUGUAACACACACCGCCCAAGUUCUCUACUCUCUCAUCUCCCCUCCCCUCUCCUCUGCCUCCGCCCUCUCCUCCCUAGCUCCCCCUUGUCGACUACUUCUACCUCCCCGUCGACGGUGAGUCGGCAACCGCAGCUACAUCAUGCCCCCCGAUCGGCCGAUCCCACUCUCACCUGAGAUGAGAUUAUCACAGCUACAUCACUCCGUCGACGCCCCUCGCAGCUACAUCGACGCCCCCCUCCUUCCUCCUCGGCUAGGGUUUUCAGAACCCACAACUGGUGCCACCGGAGAGAGUAACUGCAGCUUCUUCUCGGAGCGAGGUAAACCAUAAACCCUAACCCCUGUUUCCUUUUACCCCAUGAUAACAAAAUAAAAGAAAAGAAGAAGAGGAAGAGGAAGGGGAAAGAACCUACCUUGGGUCUCCGGCUGUGGAUCCAACGCCGCGCUUGAUCACCGCCGUGGCCGCAGUUGUCGAUGGCCGCGCUAGGAUUCUUCCUUCCUCCUCUAAGGGAUUCUUUUCCUUCCCCUGCUGCGGGUAGGCAAGGCAGAGAGGGCUCUUCCUCCCCCCUCUGCUGAGGCCGUGAGUCAAAAAAUAUUGGCCCGUGACUUGGUCGCAGGUGGAGCCGCCGCGAUGAGAUCCGGUAGAGGAGCCGUCAGCCCCUCCAAACCUCAUCAGAUCUUCGGACACCAAUUUCUGAACAUCAGAGAGACUUCUCUCUCUCUCUCCAUUGAACCC
Molecule: long non-coding RNA, 2732 nt
Filed under: Phoenix dactylifera (date palm)
Lineage: Eukaryota; Viridiplantae; Streptophyta; Magnoliopsida; Arecales; Arecaceae
Description: long non-coding RNA (PDAC_LNC012757)
Source: RNAcentral